RNAcentral lists this ribosomal RNA (425 nucleotides) under uncultured bacterium. Its description in RNAcentral is "bacterial SSU rRNA". It matches the Rfam family "Bacterial small subunit ribosomal RNA", at positions 354 to 796 of the family's 1533-position model. The record is from RNAcentral.
GUGGGGAAUCUUGCGCAAUGGGCGAAAGCCUGACGCAGCCAUGCCGCGUGAAUGAUGAAGGUCUUAGGAUUGUAAAAUUCUUUCACCGGGGACGAUAAUGACGGUACCCGGAGAAGAAGCCCCGGCUAACUUCGUGCCAGCAGCCGCGGUAAUACGAAGGGGGCUAGCGUUGCUCGGAAUUACUGGGCGUAAAGGGCGCGUAGGCGGACAGUUUAGUCAGAGGUGAAAGCCCAGGGCUCAACCUUGGAAUUGCCUUUGAUACUGGCUGUCUUGAGUACGGGAGAGGUGAGUGGAACUCCGAGUGUAGAGGUGAAAUUCGUAGAUAUUCGGAAGAACACCAGUGGCGAAGGCGACUCACUGGCCCGUUACUGACGCUGAGGCGCGAAAGCGUGGGGAGCAAACAGGAUUAGAAACCCCAGUAGUCC